Molecule: ribosomal RNA, 486 nt
Filed under: uncultured bacterium
Lineage: Bacteria
Description: partial 16S ribosomal RNA
Rfam family: Bacterial small subunit ribosomal RNA
Source: RNAcentral
AUUGAACGCUGGCGGCAUGCCUUACACAUGCAAGUCGAACGGCAGCACGGGUGCUUGCACCUGGUGGCGAGUGGCGAACGGGUGAGUAAUACAUCGGAACAUGUCCUGUAGUGGGGGAUAGCCCGGCGAAAGCCGGAUUAAUACCGCAUACGAUCUACGGAUGAAAGCGGGGGACCUUCGGGCCUCGCGCUAUAGGGUUGGCCGAUGGCUGGUUAGCUAGUUGGUGGGGUAAAGGCCUACCAAGGCGACGAUCAGUAGCUGGUCUGAGAGGACGACCAGCCACACUGGGACUGAGACACGGCCCAGACUCCUACGGGAAGCAGCAGUGGGGAAUUUUGGACAAUGGGCGAAAGCCUGAUCCAGCAAUGCCGCGUGUGUGAAGAAGGCCUUCGGGUUGUAAAGCACUUUUGUCCGGAAAGAAAUCCUUGGCCCUAAUACGGUCGGGGGAUGACGGUACCGGAAGAAUAAGCACCGGCUAACUACGUG